CGGGUGAGUAACACGUGGGAAAUCUGCCCUGAACUCUGGGACAAGCCUUGGAAACGAGGUCUAAUACCGGAUAUGACCGUGGAGCGCAUGCUCUGUGGUGGAAAGCUCCGGCGGUUCAGGAUGAUCCCGCGGCCUAUCAGCUUGUUGGUGGGGUAAUGGCCUACCAAGGCGACGACGGGUAGCCGGCCUGAGAGGGCGACCGGCCACACUGGGACUGAGACACGGCCCAG
Molecule: ribosomal RNA, 230 nt
Filed under: uncultured bacterium
Lineage: Bacteria
Description: partial 16S ribosomal RNA
Rfam family: Bacterial small subunit ribosomal RNA
Source: RNAcentral